Molecule: ribosomal RNA, 484 nt
Filed under: uncultured bacterium
Lineage: Bacteria
Description: bacterial SSU rRNA
Rfam family: Bacterial small subunit ribosomal RNA
Source: RNAcentral
AUUGAACGCUGGCGGCAGGCCUAACACAUGCAAGCCGAGCGGUAGAGAGAAGCUUGCUUCUCUUGAGAGCGGCGGACGGGUGAGUAAUGCCUAGGAAUCUGCCUGGUAGUGGGGGAUAACGCUCGGAAACGGACGCUAAUACCGCAUACGUCCUACGGGAGAAAGCAGGGGACCUUCGGGCCUUGCGCUAUCAGAUGAGCCUAGGUCGGAUUAGCUAGUUGGUGAGGUAAUGGCUCACCAAGGCGACGAUCCGUAACUGGUCUGAGAGGAUGAUCAGUCACACUGGAACUGAGACACGGUCCAGACUCCUACGGGAGGCAGCAGUGGGGAAUAUUGGACAAUGGGCGAAAGCCUGAUCCAGCCAUGCCGCGUGUGUGAAGAAGGUCUUCGGAUUGUAAAGCACUUUAAGUUGGGAGGAAGGGCAGUAACUUAAUACGUUACUGUUUUGACGUUACCGACAGAAUAAGCACCGGCUAACUCUGUG